Molecule: unclassified non-coding RNA, 143 nt
Filed under: uncultured fungus
Lineage: Eukaryota; Fungi
Description: sequence contains ITS1, 5.8S rRNA gene
Source: RNAcentral
ACAAAUUCCAAAACUCGCCGAAACGCUCCAUUUUAUCGAGUGUCCUCCUGAACGGGGGGCAUGAGCCUAAAUGGGGUUGUUGUAGGUAAAUACUAACAGUUAUUAUUGACAAAUAAUGGAGAACCAAUUAAAUUAAUUGUAAA